Long non-coding RNA from Talpa occidentalis (Iberian mole), 1297 nucleotides. RefSeq lists it as uncharacterized. NCBI's taxonomy places the organism in Eukaryota, Metazoa, Chordata, Mammalia, Eulipotyphla, Talpidae. The record is from RefSeq and is a predicted model, not a curated record. The transcript has 6 exons.
UCCCACAGCAUGGAUUGUUCACUCUGCUCCUAUGUGCAGUGGCUUGUGGUUCUACUUCGCUUGAGUUGCCUUUCUCCCCUGGGUUGUCUUCCAGUACAAUGGAAAGAGCUGACUAUGAUAGAAGUCAUCCUGGGGAGCCUGUGAAUUUGAAUAGAGCACACCUAAAUUUUCACCAGGAAAAGUUGAAGUAAAACUACAUUGUAUCCUUCUCUCUGCAACUGAACAUGAAAAAAAAGGUUAUGUUUCAGCCCAGAUAAAGACUAAAUAAACAUGACUGGAGAUUGUAAACAAGAUGGUACAUGGCUUAGACAGGGACAAGGAAUAGGAAGUGGUGACCUAAACAGGCCAAACAAACAUCUGCAGAUCAUCUGCUCAAGUAGUAGUGAAGAGACUUGCCUCAUUUUGUCUUUGGAGGGUUGACAUCAUUCUCACUUCCAGUAUGAAAGAAAUUGAUCUGCUUUCAGACUUUAAAGAGAAUGGAGAAUGGAUUUGGUGGGACCAAAUUCUGUAACUUAAUGCAGACCUGCCUUCUAGCUACGAGGCUGGUAUUUCACAAAGCCAUGUAAACUGCUAUUGCUAAGCAGAAUUAUGAUCUUAUUUGGACACAUCUAACUGCCAUUUUUGUGUGGACAUGGCCUUGGCCGAUAGUGAUUUGAUUUUAGAUGGCGUCUGACAUGAGGCAGAAUGUGAAGAAGGUGAAAUACAAGUAGACUCACAUUGAAUUAGAAGUACCACAUUUCUUUUCUUGUCAGGCCUGUAGUGGUGACCUGCUUGAAGAGGCAGAAAACUCAAAUGGAAGAAAGGUCUGAGAAUUCAAAAGUCUUGGUGAGAAAAUGCCACACUAAAAGAUAAAUGAUCUUUGUGGAUUUUACUCGUCAUGUCCUGUGAACUGUUUUAGACUUAAAUUUGGAAAGAAUAGCCUGAGUAUCCUUGCAUUGCCUUGCCAAAGGGCAUUUUUGUUAAAUAAUUUUAAUGUUAAGGUUAAUUAGAGAAGAAGGCACAGGGAAAUUCAUUUGUGUUGUAAAGAAUAAACUGCUAACUGCAAAUGGCUAAGGCAAGGAAAGCAGAGAACUGCUCUGUAUUAUUCUUAGUUUUUGUUGUUUUUCCUAUAACGAUUUCUGUGUCCUGGGGUUUACAAAAUUAUUCUGUUAUAUCCUGUUUCGUAUUUUCUAGGUCAACAAGAAACACUGUUCUCUCAGGAGUUAUUCAAUUAAAAAAAGUGUUACGUCCAAAGAUGUAGAAGGUCUAUCUUUUCUCCCCUAACCUGAUAGCUUUUAUUUGUGGAUGACAUUCUUUA